RNAcentral lists this ribosomal RNA (1530 nucleotides) under Enterobacter hormaechei. Its description in RNAcentral is "bacterial SSU rRNA". It matches the Rfam family "Bacterial small subunit ribosomal RNA". Lineage: Bacteria; Pseudomonadati; Pseudomonadota; Gammaproteobacteria; Enterobacterales; Enterobacteriaceae. The record is from RNAcentral. RNAcentral also lists the same sequence under 3 other names.
AGAGUUUGAUCAUGGCUCAGAUUGAACGCUGGCGGCAGGCCUAACACAUGCAAGUCGAACGGUAACAGGAAGCAGCUUGCUGCUUUGCUGACGAGUGGCGGACGGGUGAGUAAUGUCUGGGAAACUGCCUGAUGGAGGGGGAUAACUACUGGAAACGGUAGCUAAUACCGCAUAAUGUCGCAAGACCAAAGAGGGGGACCUUCGGGCCUCUUGCCAUCGGAUGUGCCCAGAUGGGAUUAGCUAGUAGGUGGGGUAACGGCUCACCUAGGCGACGAUCCCUAGCUGGUCUGAGAGGAUGACCAGCCACACUGGAACUGAGACACGGUCCAGACUCCUACGGGAGGCAGCAGUGGGGAAUAUUGCACAAUGGGCGCAAGCCUGAUGCAGCCAUGCCGCGUGUAUGAAGAAGGCCUUCGGGUUGUAAAGUACUUUCAGCGGGGAGGAAGGCGAUAAGGUUAAUAACCUUGUCGAUUGACGUUACCCGCAGAAGAAGCACCGGCUAACUCCGUGCCAGCAGCCGCGGUAAUACGGAGGGUGCAAGCGUUAAUCGGAAUUACUGGGCGUAAAGCGCACGCAGGCGGUCUGUCAAGUCGGAUGUGAAAUCCCCGGGCUCAACCUGGGAACUGCAUUCGAAACUGGCAGGCUAGAGUCUUGUAGAGGGGGGUAGAAUUCCAGGUGUAGCGGUGAAAUGCGUAGAGAUCUGGAGGAAUACCGGUGGCGAAGGCGGCCCCCUGGACAAAGACUGACGCUCAGGUGCGAAAGCGUGGGGAGCAAACAGGAUUAGAUACCCUGGUAGUCCACGCCGUAAACGAUGUCGACUUGGAGGUUGUGCCCUUGAGGCGUGGCUUCCGGAGCUAACGCGUUAAGUCGACCGCCUGGGGAGUACGGCCGCAAGGUUAAAACUCAAAUGAAUUGACGGGGGCCCGCACAAGCGGUGGAGCAUGUGGUUUAAUUCGAUGCAACGCGAAGAACCUUACCUACUCUUGACAUCCAGAGAACUUUCCAGAGAUGGAUUGGUGCCUUCGGGAACUCUGAGACAGGUGCUGCAUGGCUGUCGUCAGCUCGUGUUGUGAAAUGUUGGGUUAAGUCCCGCAACGAGCGCAACCCUUAUCCUUUGUUGCCAGCGGUUAGGCCGGGAACUCAAAGGAGACUGCCAGUGAUAAACUGGAGGAAGGUGGGGAUGACGUCAAGUCAUCAUGGCCCUUACGAGUAGGGCUACACACGUGCUACAAUGGCGCAUACAAAGAGAAGCGACCUCGCGAGAGCAAGCGGACCUCAUAAAGUGCGUCGUAGUCCGGAUUGGAGUCUGCAACUCGACUCCAUGAAGUCGGAAUCGCUAGUAAUCGUGGAUCAGAAUGCCACGGUGAAUACGUUCCCGGGCCUUGUACACACCGCCCGUCACACCAUGGGAGUGGGUUGCAAAAGAAGUAGGUAGCUUAACCUUCGGGAGGGCGCUUACCACUUUGUGAUUCAUGACUGGGGUGAAGUCGUAACAAGGUAACCGUAGGGGAACCUGCGGUUGGAUCACCU